Oncorhynchus tshawytscha (Chinook salmon) is the source of this 914-nucleotide long non-coding RNA. The record is from Ensembl. Lineage: Eukaryota; Metazoa; Chordata; Actinopteri; Salmoniformes; Salmonidae.
GCCAGCCUGAGCCCCUCUACAGCCAGCCUGACCCCCUCUACAGCCAGCCUGACCCCCUCUACAGCCAACCUGACCCCCUCUACAGCCAACCAGACCGCCCAGACUACAUCGUCAGGGUUGACAGCCCUCAGCCAAUCACAGGGCAGGGAGACCACUGCGACCACGGAAACCACAACAUCAUUAGCAGUUUCAGCUACAAGAGGAAGUGACAUUGCAGGCUAUGUAAUCCUGUUUCUCAUAUUGUUGGCUGUUGUGUGUCUGGUGGUGAUUCUCUAUAUCCUGAGGAAGAAGUCCAGGAGGUACUCGUUUGAUCUGCAGUAUCCAGGUUAUGACCACGACACCCCCCUCACCUGCAUGGAACAACCCGGAACCUUCGAACCCAACAACGAUCAGGAGAUCUGGGAGUCUGAGAGAGAGGGUGGUGAUGAGGAUCCCCAUGCUAUGAGCCCUGUAGCUAACGGCUCAGCUAUGGGGGCUGGAGAGACUGGCUCUACAGGGGAGAACGAAGGAGAGAAGCAGGCUCAUGGUGAUAGUGACGGAGACAGCUUCAACAACUUCUGUGCCAGUGAUGUCACUCCGCCCAUAAAAAGGGUUGGCUUUAGCCUGGACCUCGACCUGAGUGACAAGGUGUUACUCGGCUCCAGCCCUGACCUUUGACCCUUGAGUGACAGGGUGUUACUCGGCUCCGGCCCUGACCUUCGACCCUGUAUGUCCAGAUAACGUCUUCACUGAGAUCAAGAUGUACAUAGCACCUUUUAUUUGAUCUAUAAAAUGUCAGAAUGUACACGGCUCCAGAUCAGUGUUUACUUUCUGAUACUGUAAUUCAUUUUAAUAAUGUUUUGAGCGUGACCAAGAGAGCGAUGUCACGUGGUUUUAGAAUGAAAAAAAUGUACUUCACAGAGGACUUGACGUGG